UUCCGGUUGAUCCCGCCGGACCCGACUGCUAUCAGAGUGGGACUAAGCCAUGCGAGUCAACAUAGCAAUAUGUGGCAUACGGCUCAGUAACACGUAGUCAACAUGCCCAGGGGACGUGGAUAACCUCGGGAAACUGAGGAUAAACCGCGAUAGGUCAUUUCUUCUGGAAUGGGUAAUGACCCAAAUCUACAUGGCCCCUGGAUUGGACUGCGGCCGAUCAGGCUGUUGGUGAGGUAAUGGCCCACCAAACCUGUAACCGGUACGGGCUCUGAGAGGAGGAGCCCGGAGAUGGGCACUGAGACAAGGGCCCAGGCCCUAUGGGGCGCAGCAGGCGCGAAACCUCUGCAAUAGGCGAAAGCUUGACAGGGUUACUCUGAGUGAUUUCCGUUAAGGAGAUCUCUUGGCACCUCUAAAGAUGGUGCAGAAUAAGGGGUGGGCAAGUCUGGUGUCAGCCGCCGCGGUAAUACCAGCACCCCGAGUGGUCGGGACGUUUAUUGGGCCUAAAGCAUCCGUAGCCGGUUCUACAAGUCUUCCGUUAAAUCCACCUGCUUAACAGAUGGGCUGCGGAAGAUACUAUAGAGCUAGGAGGCGGGAGAGGCAAGCGGUACUCGAUGGGUAGGGGUAAAAUCCGUUGAUCCAUUGAAGACCACCAGUGGCGAAGGCGGCUUGCCAGAACGCGCUCGACGGUGAGGGAUGAAAGCUGGGGGAGCAAACCGGAUUAGAUACCCGGGUAGUCCCAGCUGUAAACGAUGCAGACUCGGUGAUGAGUUGGCUUAUUGCUAACUCAGUGCCGCAGGGAAGCCGUUAAGUUUGCCGCCUGGGGAGUACGGUCGCAAGACUGAAACUUAAAGGAAUUGGCGGGGGAGCACCACAAGGGGUGAAGCCUGCGGUUCAAUUGGAUUCAACGCCGGG
This 912-nucleotide ribosomal RNA is filed under the name uncultured archaeon. RNAcentral's name for it is "bacterial SSU rRNA". It matches the Rfam family "Archaeal small subunit ribosomal RNA", at positions 1 to 922 of the family's 1478-position model. The record is from RNAcentral.